This 465-nucleotide ribosomal RNA is filed under the name uncultured bacterium. RNAcentral's name for it is "bacterial SSU rRNA". It matches the Rfam family "Bacterial small subunit ribosomal RNA", at positions 28 to 492 of the family's 1533-position model. The record is from RNAcentral.
GACGAACGCCGGCGGCGUGCUUAACACAUGCAAGUCGAGCGGUAAGGCCCUUUCGGGGGUACGACGAGCGGCGAACGGGUGAGUAACACGUGGGUGACCUGCCCUCAGCUCUGGGAUAAGCCUGGGAAACCGGGUCUAAUACCGGAUAUGACUCCAUGACGCAUGUUGUGGGGUGGAAAGCCUUGUGCGGCUGAGGAUGGGCCCGCGGCCUAUCAGCUUGUUGGUGGGGUGAUGGCCACCAAGGCGACGACGGGUAGCCGGCCUGAGAGGGCGACCGGCCACACUGGGACUGAGACACGGCCCAGACUCCUACGGGAGGCAGCAGUAGGGAAUAUUGGACAAUGGGUGCAAGCCUGAUCCAGCCAUGCCGCGUGCAGGAAGAAAGACCUUCUGGGUUGUAAACUGCUUUUGCCAGGGGAUAAAAUAUCUGUGCGCAGAUAAUUGAAGGUACCUGGUGAAUAAGCC